This 491-nucleotide ribosomal RNA is filed under the name uncultured bacterium. RNAcentral describes it as "partial 16S ribosomal RNA". It matches the Rfam family "Bacterial small subunit ribosomal RNA", at positions 29 to 506 of the family's 1533-position model. The record is from RNAcentral.
AGUGAACGCUGGCGGUAGGCCUAACACAUGCAAGUCGAACGGCAGCACAGUAAGAGCUUGCUCUUACGGGUGGCGAGUGGCGGACGGGUGAGGAAUACAUCGGAAUCUACUUUUUCGUGGGGGAUAACGUAGGGAAACUUACGCUAAUACCGCAUACGACCUACGGGUGAAAGCAGGGGAUCUUCGGACCUUGCGCGAUUGAACGAGCCGAUGUCGGAUUAGCUAGUUGGCGGGGUAAAGGCCCACCAAGGCGACGAUCCGUAGCUGGUCUGAGAGGAUGAUCAGCCACACUGGAACUGAGACACGGUCCAGACUCCUACGGGAGGCAGCAGUGGGGAAUAUUGGACAAUGGGCGCAAGCCUGAUCCAGCCAUACCGCGUGGGUGAAGAAGGCCUUCGGGUUGUAAAGCCCUUUUGUUGGGAAAGAAAAGCAGCAGGUUAAUACCCCGCUGUUCGGACGGUACCCAAAGAAUAAGCACCGGCUAACUGCGU